UUUUUAGUAUAAAUAUAUACCAUGUAAGAGUUGGGACAUACUUAUACUAAAA
RNAcentral lists this microRNA precursor (52 nucleotides) under Pteropus alecto (black flying fox). RNAcentral describes it as "mir-1302 microRNA precursor family". It matches the Rfam family "mir-1302 microRNA precursor family". Lineage: Eukaryota; Metazoa; Chordata; Mammalia; Chiroptera; Pteropodidae. The record is from Rfam by way of RNAcentral.